This is a long non-coding RNA of Mesocricetus auratus (golden hamster), 1429 nucleotides long. RefSeq lists it as uncharacterized. The record is from RefSeq and is a predicted model, not a curated record. Lineage: Eukaryota; Metazoa; Chordata; Mammalia; Rodentia; Cricetidae. The transcript has 3 exons.
GGAUGCGUUUUCAAAUUGAUGACCUCUGUCCCUAGACGUCAGGAAAAUUAGUAAUUUUGAGGCUGGAGAUUUGUUGAGAUGUGAGACCUCAGCUGUUUCUGCCUGAUGACUGCAGCCUGCCGCCCUGAUUCCCUGCUGUGACGGACUCUUACCUUCUGGAACUGAAAAGAUUAUAGUCACCUUGCAAACAGAAAACGACUUGAAGUCACUUUGCAUUGGGUCUCCCACCAGCUUCUCAGAUUAUGUCCAAACAGAAGGUAAAUUUGGAUGAAAAGAAGAAGUAGUUCCAAGGAACAUCAGCCAUGAAGCAAACUAGUAUGGACUGGAUGUUUGCAUUCUCCCGUAGUUUACAUGUUGCGAUUCUGUCUCCUAAGUUGUUGACAUCGAGAGUUAGGGGCAUCAGGAGGCAAUGUUAUCGUGUGCUAGAGCCUUCUCAUUAACAUCACUAACGCACUUACUGAAAAGCACCGGGAAGCAUACCUUCUCUUUCUUUCAGCUGUGUGAGUACACAAGUCUAUGAGAGAGGAAGGGCGGGUCCACUAGACCCUGGGUCUGUGCCGUCAUAUGUUUGGAGCCUCUCAGUCUCUAGAAAUGAGAGAAUCAUGUCUCUUCUUUGAGGUGGUGAUUUGAUAAGUAAGCCCCAACUUAAAACAAAAGUAUCUGUCUAUCCUCUGCCCUUUGGCUAGAUAUCCUGAAGUGAAUGCUGCUAGGGUUCACACUGGGCUUUCCUUUUAAAAGGUGUGAUGGCAAGAUUUCUUCCCAGUGUCAUGACCUCUUCUAUGGGACAUUAGCAUCUUGAAUUUCCAGAGGAAAACCAUCCCUCCCACAGUCAACCACACAGGGUUUGUGGGAUUCUAGUGUUGGCUCUGGAUAGCUCAUGAGGGAAUCUUUCCCCUUAACCCGCUGUGACUGGUUCAGAGACAGGCACACGAGUUAAUCUACUCCAACCGGAGUGAAGCUUACUGCCUGUGAUGAAACUGCAGAAAGGCUUCUUUCAUGGCGGCUGAUCAUGGGACGCAAUGAGCUAAGGAACUCCGCAAACAGACCUGUCGCUCUUGGGCAGCUAACACGCUGACGUAAAGAUUAAAGACGGAGUUACCCAGGUCUUAGCCCAGAGCCUGAAGAAAGAUUGAUUCCCCAAACUGUUGUUAUAUUUUGGACAUAGAUUAUCCUCAAAAGACCUGAUGCUUUUGUGGAAGACCUGUUGUCAUCUGGUAUACCUAGUCAUCGAGUAAUUUUUGUGUCAUCAGGGCUCUGAACUAAACGAUGGACUCAACUGUACCAGGAUUUUUCUUUUAGGCCACCAACCAGCUCUGAAAUCAUGACACAGAGACUUCUCACUAGUUAUGAAUGCUCAGCUUAGCUUAGGCAUGUUUCUGGCGAGCUCUUUUAACUAAAAUUAACCUGUUUCUCUUUACCUACCUUUCGC